Molecule: non-coding RNA, 19 nt
Filed under: Arabidopsis thaliana (thale cress)
Lineage: Eukaryota; Viridiplantae; Streptophyta; Magnoliopsida; Brassicales; Brassicaceae
Source: RNAcentral
AGGGGAUGUAGCUCAGAUG